GCUUAUCCAGAGUGGUGGAGGGAAAUCGGCCCUACGAAGCCCGGCAACCAGUCCGACUAAUAGACCAGGUGCCAACUCCGGCGAAGAACUGAUAAUCGCAAGAUAAGA
RNAcentral lists this non-coding RNA (108 nucleotides) under marine eukaryotic metagenome. RNAcentral describes it as "SAM riboswitch (S box leader)". It matches the Rfam family "SAM riboswitch aptamer (S box leader)". Rfam says of the family: The SAM riboswitch is found upstream of a number of genes which code for proteins involved in methionine or cysteine biosynthesis in Gram-positive bacteria. The SAM riboswitch acts at the level of transcription termination control. The predicted structure consists of a complex stem-loop region followed by a single stem loop terminator region. The record is from RNAcentral.